This is a long non-coding RNA of Drosophila yakuba, 1405 nucleotides long. RefSeq lists it as uncharacterized. The transcript is spliced from 4 exons. NCBI's taxonomy places the organism in Eukaryota, Metazoa, Arthropoda, Insecta, Diptera, Drosophilidae. The record is from RefSeq and is a predicted model, not a curated record.
AUCAAGCGUGGUACGCUGCAGAUGUGAUGACUUGGUGAGAUAUCGUUUCGUAAGAGCAUAACAAAAAACAAACAAGGUGGCCCACAAGGCCGCCGGUUGUGCGAGCGAGACGGACGAACAACAAGCGCCAUAAGAACGAGAUCCAAUACCAUCCACAAUCUAGCACUGAAAACUAUGUUACCCCACAUUACAGCAAAUGUUUUAGUUACCAAUUAAAUUCUGCUGCUAACAAAUUAAUUCGUAUAUCUACUUCCAUUUCCAUUUUCCUUAUGCUUAUCCCGAAUUUAGUUUAUUUCAACGUUUGCUCUAACGUACUCAGGCAUUGAAUUGGUAUGUGUAAGUGGUUUCUUUCGGUGCACACUGUCACAUGCUUGGAAAAGGUGGUGGAACCUGGAAACCGGGGACACCGAGGAACUGCGAGACUUUCGGCACGUAGCAACGCGUAGCUGCAAGCCCCCAUCCACAAACACAUCCACAAGCUGACGAAGCGGUGACUCGGGCGUAUGAGCAACAUGCUGAAGCAUAUGGAAAUCGCUGCGUUCCAAAGCCGGCAAACCAGAUGGACAACUAGUCCCUGCCGCUAGCAGAGGAGCAGGUUGGAAUUUUUCAAGGGGGUUUUUCCAUUUAAACAUUUAGUAUCAGUCAAUUGCAUUACGAAAAUGUUUUGAUAGUGUUAUCAACUGGCACUGCUGCUGCAGGUUUUCUAGUUGGAUCUUUGAUCUAUUUAGGACAUUACUCUUCUGGAAACAAGCCAAACCAAAAUGAUCUGGAUGUAUUUCUAGCUAGACUAAAUAUACGGAUUUCAUUACCCACAGACGCCUUUGUGAAACGUGGGUUCCUCUUGGAGCUGAAAACGAUUGCAGCUGCAUGAAAAGCUUUAAAUCCGAGCUUCCAAGCUCGUCCAUUCAUAUUUUUGGUCGGUUUCUGGGGCCGACAUAAAAAAUUCCAAAUAUGCGAUGGCAUUGCAUAAAAAACGCAAUUAUAGCCGCUGACCGCGUCCGCAUUGCAUUUGGGCCUUGUCUUAUCGCCAUUCGUCGUUGUUUAUCGUUAUUGCUUGAGUCAGCUUAUCAAGAAAUUUCGAAACUGAAAUCCACCUUACGGGGGGUUUUACUUGAACUGAAACGGUUUACCUCGGCACGUGAAUACAAUCAAAAAAUUCCGCUGCCCCCAGAAGAUACAGUGUGACCUCUAUAACCCGAAGCACUUAGCAAAACGUAACGUUUAUUUGGUUAUUUGUUUUGAAAUAAUUAGAUCCUAGAUUAGAUGACAGUGUAUAUAUAAUGUACUGGCUAGACUUUUAUGGCUGUAAGACAAAGUUGGCAGCAAGCUAUUAUAACAUGAACUUUUCCUAACCGAAAAUAUACAUUUCUCUUAGAACACAGGUUUUUCGAGGCCAGACUGUAAA